GGCGGGGGCUGCGGGUACCUGCGCGCGCCGCCGUCCGCUCACCGGAACUCGGGCCACGCCGGCCCGGCUCCGGGGCCCCCAGCCUUCCGGCGCCUACGCCCCCGUCAGGUCCCCUCCGCGGGCUCCGGGCCGCUUUGCUGUGGUCAGGAUAGGCGACCGGUCCGUGUCACUUCUCCCGACCCAACAUGGCGGCGGGGUCCGGGGCGGAUUCCCGGGGGCGGUGCAGGCCGAGGGGGCGUGAGGAGGAGGUGCUUCCCUGCCCGGAGAGCAGGCCCGCGGCGUCCCUUCCCACCCGCGAACCCACCGACGCUCGGCUGCCGCGGAGAUUGAAUGGAGCGCUCCGAUUCUGCCCCUCUGCCUUUCUCUGUUCCUUGGCCCAGCUCUCAGUAGUGGCCAGGGCUUUGGGGCUUGCUUUUGUGGGGGAGGACGGGGUUGAGUUUUUUUGGUUGGCUGUUUGCUUCUCAGCGCUACGCUUCCGCACCCUUUGUCGUUGGUAGUAAAAUCUCAAGCCCAACCGCGUGAGCCGGGGGCGUUACUCACACCCUCAUCACCAUCCUGAUCGCCGUCCAAAAAACGUUCACGUCUUGCCUCCUUCCGAGGCAGGGAUCCUGUCCCUGCCCCCAGGAGCUUCCUGUUGACUGUAGGUCGAACCAGCCUUGCCGGGAGGGGAACCGAAGCUGAGUUCUGUUUGGCGACUAUCCCAGUCAUGGUGGCUUUGGCUUAUGUUGGGACAGCGUUUUUCUAUAUGAUGCUGGCGGCAGCCCAGUGAGGGAAGUGCAACAAGUAUGGUUCUCCUGCUUGUCAACUGUGGAAACAGCGACCCUGAAAGUGGAGGAGCCACAGCUGGAAUCGUGUCCGUCUGAAUACACGCACCUUUCCUAUGAGCCUUGUAAAGCCAGUCGUUGAAGAAGGGGGAGGACCCGGAAGGAUGGGGUGGGGGCGUAAAGAUGAAGGUUAAUCAAGGUCCUCAUGGACUGAACCUUGAGGCCCUUCUGCUGCAGUCACUUUUGCCCUAUCAGACUUUUAGAGUAACUUCCUCUCUUUAUUUCCUCUUUGGUGGGGUUAUCAGAAUUAUUUUGUGACUAUUGGUUUCCUUUGCGGUUUUUAGUGAAAUUCAGAAUCAUCUUCGACGGAUAGGAAAUAGUGCAAUCAUAUGUGUCAGUAUUCCGGUAUUCUAGGAACUUAAGGAAAUGCAUAUAAGGGUUUGAACAUUUUUUUCUUCAGCUCACUAAAUGAACGAAAGGUAGGCGUAGGCGUUAAAGAGACACAUAAUGUGGAACGAUGCUGUAUUUUCUUAGCUACUAAAACUUCAUUUGUCAUUGACUGUCUCAGGGCUUUAAAAUUUUAUGUAGGUCUAUAUUCAGCUUUUAUUAAAAUAGAAAAUUCCUUGAGCUGUUGCCUUUCUUCACUAAAUAGAGAUAAUUUCGUCUUCCUAAACACUCAGUCUCAAAAAUCACCUCUAAAAUAGGCCGGGCACAGUGGCUCACACGUGUAACCCCAGCAUUCUGGGAGUCCAAGACAGGAGGAUCACUUGAGUCUAGGAGUUGGAGACCAGCCUGGGCAACAUGGGAGACCUCCUAUCUAUUUAGUAAAAUAUAUUUUAAAAAAUAAUAAUGAAAUGAAAUAGUAGUUUGCCCCAGUUUAAGGGGUAAGGUGGCUUUGAAGAUGUUCUAUAUGGAGUUUUAAAGUUGGGAGAGUAUGUCAGAAUGUCAC
This 1713-nucleotide long non-coding RNA is filed under the name Homo sapiens (human). Its description in RNAcentral is "HSALNT0246790". The record is from RNAcentral. Lineage: Eukaryota; Metazoa; Chordata; Mammalia; Primates; Hominidae.